CGUUUUAGCUCUGUUUUUCCAUUCUGGUCAAAUCAAACCAAGAUCUCAAUCCAUUUCAAUCUUGGCUAGCCAGCCACCGAGAUAACCAAGAUAUUGGAUCUGAAACCUUGGCCAGUAGGAGAAAAAAAAGGAAAGAGCUUUGAUUAAAACAGCCACUAUGAGCUAGAAGUAUUUGUCCAAAGAUUAAAUGGAUUUCCAAGAUUUAGUUCCUCACCAAGAAAUUAUACCCGACACUGCAGACACCACGUAGCGCUGCACGCCAGCUGGUAGGCUCCAUUCAUCAAGCUCUCAUGCUGAUACACCGCUACAGGAACGAGCGGUUGUGGAUAUCAGUGUGUAUGGCCACGUGGUGCACGCUGUGUAGAAUAUAAUUUCUCCAUCAAACAGUGUACAUAUAGAUAAACUUGGAGGUCAGAUAUUAUAGAGCUAAAUUAUAUUUAACCACCAGAUUGUCAUAGCAACAGCAGAAAUAAGAGAUGAAACGUAUGGAGACUACUUUUCCAUCUAACAAAAGCUUGGGUACCAAAUAAUAUGCAGAAAAAGGUGAUGGUAUCCAGCCAAUUAUGCAGAAAAAUUCCAGUUCUCACACAGACGCCUUUUCUGAGAACCAAAACAGCAUUAGGUGCGACAGCACCUCUCCAUUAUAUUUUAUAUAUAACAAAGGGGAAAAUAUGAUAGCCCUAUAGUUCACUAUUUAGCAUUAAAACAGCCCAUUAUACUAUGAAAUAACAGUCAUUAUUUUCACUUACAACUUUCUAUAAACAAAAUAUUAUUUUUUAAUUCAAUUUUUUUUCAUCAAGACUCAGGCCAAAAAUGACUGGAUGGUCCCAAAAUAAUAUUUUUUAUCCAAUGAAAAGUAAAGAGAAAGAUAACGCUGUUUUUUUCCUUUCAUUGCCCCUUAUUUUCCAUUACAAUGACCAUUCCAACAAUAAUUAUUUUAAUAUAAAGAAAUUUCAAACACUGCUUUUUGAGGCGAACAAGGGUUAUUAUAACCAUUAUAACAGUCAAUAACAAUUUUGGUAGGGAUACAUUGUAACAACAUAAUGUGUUUAAAACCUUGAUAUGUUUUAAUAUUAAAAAAAUCAAUAUCUACACACCAAACAGAACAUCCAACAUGUUUAACACUUUCACCUUUGAAUGUAGCAGUCAGUAUUUACAAAUGAAAUUCAAAAAAGAGAAACUAUUGAUUCUUGCAGUUCUUAACUCAUCAACAAACUUCCCACAUAAAUGUGAGAAUGCUGAACUUCUGCCUACUCUACCUGAAUUUAUAAAAGAAACUGGUCUCCAGACAUAUGUCGCACCACGUUUGUACACAAACGUGAGAGAAGAAAUCUUGAUUUAGUGUUUAGCAAUAGAGACCUUUUAUAGACUCUUGUCAAGUGUGCAUGUGGGCAGUGUUUAUUUGACAAACUCAAAAGUUAUUGCAUCAAUUGACUUAAAAGAAAGCAUUAGACAGGAUAAUUACUUGAUUCUGAAAGAAAAAAACAAAAACAAAACAUCAAAAAGGUUGACAUAUAGAAGGUAUAUGACUUAUUUUUUCCCACUACAAAUAAAGAGGAAUAUCUGAAUGGAAAUCCUUUAGUUCUUUACAUAUGAUAACCACAAUUGAAAACACAACCGUGCAAUCCUGAAGAUCUAUUAUUCAACACUGGCCUACAAAAACAACUAAAAGGGUCAGAGGUUGAAUAUGCAAAAAGCAAUUAACUGUUCCUAGGUUUAUUUGUUGAACAUCUUGCAUACAUCAUGUCAAGGGCCAUAAUCUUAGACAAUUGAAAUAUGAAUUUACAUGUAUCAUUCAAAAUACAUUUGUUUAAUUUGAACUGUAGCAAUAGCUUUAUCUGUCAAUCAUUUGAAAUGGCAAUUUUCUACGACUAAUAUAAACAAAUAUAGCUGAGAUGUCUUCAUGUCAUCCCAAUGAAAGCAAACACUGCGAACUCCUAAAGAUGGCCUAAAAUCAGAUACUUACCUGCUAACUCUCCAAACAACCACAAUGCGAGAGAUGAGCAUCAUAAAUGUGAUUUCUAGAUUCAGCACAACAUGCUUCAUAUUAUUUCGCAUUUGGCAGUAACAGAAUUACGAAUGUUACACACUUAACGUUAUAUCAUACGCCAGUUAACUUGGAUAUCUAAUGAAAGCUGACAAAUGAAUGAAUGAUGCAACCUUUAGUUUAAAAAACCUCAUUCAAUCAUUGUAAAGUUAAUUCAUGUAGCUUUGGUUGUUUACAUCACCUAAAUGCAUGCAGACUCAUGCAGCUAGAAGUCAGCAACAUGGGCAUGAAAGUUUGCAUGACAUUAACACAUGUAAUAACCAGCUCCAUAGGGAGUGAGAAGACGCAAACUACAAGUAUCUGUCCACCAAAACAUGCAAUCAUAAGAAAAAAGCAAAAAGAAAAGUUAAAACAAGAGUGAAAUAGAUCCCCAAUAUACGAUAUAGUUUUUUUUUCUAUAUUAAUCGCCACAUAUAAUAGUGAGUUGUCUUGUUACUUACUAAAAUAUCAAGUAUGAAAAGAUUAAAUGAACGAGUACAGAUCAUAAUCAGUAGAAUGAUAAUGAAAUUGCUGAUUGGGGCUCAUGAUAGAGAAUACUCUAAUUACCUAAAUACAGAAUUAUCUUUUUUAUACAUAAUUUACUAUUAAAAAAAAUUAAGCAUAUGAGAUGUAGAAGUUUCCACAUUUGUAAUAAUGCGACUCCAAUGUACUAAUACUAAGCUUCCAAUUAGUGAAAUUCCUCACGUUUUCAAUGAAAUAUAGAUCAUAUUUAUAUAAAAUCUUAUGCUCUUUAUAAAAAUUAAGUCAUCAUGUCAAGAUCCAACUCACAUGCUAAAAAUGUUAUUUCAUGCUAAGGCAUCUUCUGUUUACAUUUCUCUUGAAAGAAAGAAAGAAAAAACAGUAAAAUUUCUAAUUCAUUGUAGAAAUUUCCAUUGUGAAUUUGGGAAUUACUAAACAUUGUAACAAUAACUUUAUUGUAUAAAGAUUGAAAAUUUAGAACAUUAAUAUAAAUCUUUUAUUAAAAGUGAAACAAAAAAAAACUUUCCUCAAAUCGUUUGUCCUCAAAUAUUAUAAAUUUGGCAGGAACCAAGAUUCUAGAUAUUUCACAUAGUUGACAAGCAAAUUUAACACUCCUUGUGAACAGGAACCCUUUUCUUGGGGCAAGAAUAGGAACCAGUUUAGGUUGCAAGACAUUGCAAUCACAAUAUCUUGUCAAAUUCCCUUCAUGUGCACACAUAUGGGAUGCAAUGGCCCCUGGUUGCUCAUUCUGCACAAGAAAAAGAUGAAAGGAGGGCAGGAAGCAGCAUGUCAUCCUAACUCAUUCCCCGCAUUGACAUUUGGCAAGAUGUUGCAAUCACUAUCACAAUAUAUCUUGUGAUAUUUCCCUGAGAAUUUAUAUGUAUCCCUUAUAUUAAAUAGUUUAUAGAUAAGUUUCAUUUUUUGACCAAAACCUAUAUUAGUGAUAGUAAAUUUGAGUCAAAGAAAAGAGUUGACUGAUAUCAACUGAAACCCCAAAUCAGGAUUAAUCCACAUUCGCUUGAGUGGAAACUAAACCAAGACAGUUAAAACUUGCAGUUUCAAAGAUGAGUAUAUUAUAGGAAGCACAAAACUUUCACUAAUAAAGCAUACACUGAUGGAGAAUUUACUAAUAAAAAUCACAGGAUAUGUGCAAUAACUAUAGUAAGAGGCCUAAAUAAAAAGCUACUCAGGCUUGUGUGGAAGGAUAUGAGGAGAGAACCUAAAUGGUAGCUACCAGACAAGGCUUUGAGAAGCGCACUGAGAGAGCUCAAAGAUAUCGAUGACAAAGUUUGCUGAAAGGAUACGCAAAGCUAACUUGAUAUACAAGGGAUAAGGAUUGUUAAUGGUUAUAAAAGAUGAAAAUAUGUCAUUCAAAGGAAAAGAAAUGACCUUCUAGUCUAAGGAUCAAUGAUUCACGUUGGCUCAUUUUCUUCCUAUGUUAAAUUCAUCUCAUACAAAUAUUAUUGAAGGAUACAAUAACAAUUCACAAAACUUUUUCAAAUGAAACUGUUGUGGCGUAACAAAGGAAAUGAGCAUACCAACAGAAGAUUAAGAUUUUCACCAAUAAAAGAUGAGCCGGCAGAUAAUUGACUAUUAAAGCUAUAUGGCUUGUGCAAACAUGAUCAAAGGAGGCCUAAGCAAGAAAAGCAGCCCAGGUUUGUGCAGAAUGAUAGGAAAAGGAGGGAAAGAACUGGGAUGAUUUAGAUGGAACCUAUCAAAUGAGGAUUAAAAGAAGCUUUUAUUAACAAAGGCAUACCUAUUGAUAGCCAUCUGCUUAAAGGAUUCAUGAAGCUAACUCUACAUGGAUGUGCAAAGGACUGUUGAUUUUAAUUAUAUCAUCAACUGAAUCUUAUCCUGGUCAUUCAAGAAAGAUGCUUGACGCUUUUAUAGGGGUGUAAACAUGCCAAGCUCAAGUGAGCCAGGCCUAGCUAUAGCUCGUCUCCUUUCAUAUUGGAGCCAAGCUCAAGCAAAUUCAUUUAAUUUUGAGCCAAAAUCAAGCUGCUCUCAAGCAACUCAUUAAGAAAUACAAGUGACAGCUUGAGGUUCCUUGAGGCUUUCAUAUAUUAGUUUGAGCUAAUAUGUAUCAUUAUAUCUCAAUGUUAGAAAUAAAUUUUUCUUUUGCAUGUAUAUUAUAUUAAUCUCUAACAUAAUAUAAAGAAAAAGCCCGACUCUUUCUUUAUUUGUCAAGCUUAAUCAAGCUUAGCUUGAGCGAGCUUAGCUCUAGUCAACUCAUUUCCUAGUCGAAUGAGUCGAGUUCAUGUUGAAUUUCAAGCCAAACACAAGAUGCUCACGAACAGCUCGUCUGUUUGGCACCACAAACCUCUGAAGGAUUAGAUAGCAUGGUAUUACAUUUUUUCCGUGGAGAGGACUCACCAUAAGGUUAGUUAAUAAAAUAUAGAAAAUUAUAAUAGGAAAAUUCAUGAACCUUUCUUCAAAAAAAUGCAAGACAUGUCUCUUAAUAAGGUAAUGAGAAUUGGCUCUAAUUUGCCAAGACCACAAGGCAAUAUAUCAUCAGUUGCAAGUAAGGCUGCAAAUGGGUCGGGUUGACCCAUGACCCGCGUAGACCCGACCAGACCCGAAUGUUAGGACCCGCGAGGCUGGGUCAAGUCCUAAAUUUGGACCCGUUCUAUUUUUCAAGUCGAGUCUAGGUCAACCCAAUCCCAACCCGACCCAUUUUUUUGGGUCAAUUUUGGAUCGUUUACCAAAAGACCUUAUCCAACCCGACCCGAACCCGGAUUACCCCUUUAGACCCGCAGGCCCACAGGCCGCAACCCACAAGGAAAAAGAGCUCCGAGUCCCGUGAGUCCUCAAGCCCAUAGGCUUUCAGCCAGCUAGCCAUAGCCCAUACGACAUAAGUCCCUUCUUCGCUUCUGAGUCCCUUGUCCAGCUGUCAUGAUUCUUUCAAAGGGUCGUGGCAGAGGAACCGUAGAUCUGGAGAAGAGUAGAAUACCAUGUCCGGCUGUCCCUUCUUCCCGGAUCGAUCUCCCCCUUCUGCGUGACCGCGAGUCUCUUC
Molecule: long non-coding RNA, 5519 nt
Filed under: Phoenix dactylifera (date palm)
Lineage: Eukaryota; Viridiplantae; Streptophyta; Magnoliopsida; Arecales; Arecaceae
Description: long non-coding RNA (PDAC_LNC011680)
Source: RNAcentral